RNAcentral lists this ribosomal RNA (2925 nucleotides) under Escherichia coli O157:H7. Its description in RNAcentral is "bacterial LSU rRNA". It matches the Rfam family "Bacterial large subunit ribosomal RNA". The record is from RNAcentral. Lineage: Bacteria; Pseudomonadati; Pseudomonadota; Gammaproteobacteria; Enterobacterales; Enterobacteriaceae. RNAcentral also lists the same sequence under 3 other names.
GGUUAAGCGACUAAGCGUACACGGUGGAUGCCCUGGCAGUCAGAGGCGAUGAAGGACGUGCUAAUCUGCGAUAAGCGUCGGUAAGGUGAUAUGAACCGUUAUAACCGGCGAUUUCCGAAUGGGGAAACCCAGUGUGAUUCGUCACACUAUCAUUAACUGAAUCCAUAGGUUAAUGAGGCGAACCGGGGGAACUGAAACAUCUAAGUACCCCGAGGAAAAGAAAUCAACCGAGAUUCCCCCAGUAGCGGCGAGCGAACGGGGAGGAGCCCAGAGCCUGAAUCAGUGUGUGUGUUAGUGGAAGCGUCUGGAAAGGCGCGCGAUACAGGGUGACAGCCCCGUACACAAAAAUGCACAUGCUGUGAGCUCGAUGAGUAGGGCGGGACACGUGGUAUCCUGUCUGAAUAUGGGGGGACCAUCCUCCAAGGCUAAAUACUCCUGACUGACCGAUAGUGAACCAGUACCGUGAGGGAAAGGCGAAAAGAACCCCGGCGAGGGGAGUGAAAAAGAACCUGAAACCGUGUACGUACAAGCAGUGGGAGCACAGAGCAAUCUGUGUGACUGCGUACCUUUUGUAUAAUGGGUCAGCGACUUAUAUUCUGUAGCAAGGUUAACCGAAUAGGGGAGCCGAAGGGAAACCGAGUCUUAACUGGGCGUUAAGUUGCAGGGUAUAGACCCGAAACCCGGUGAUCUAGCCAUGGGCAGGUUGAAGGUUGGGUAACACUAACUGGAGGACCGAACCGACUAAUGUUGAAAAAUUAGCGGAUGACUUGUGGCUGGGGGUGAAAGGCCAAUCAAACCGGGAGAUAGCUGGUUCUCCCCGAAAGCUAUUUAGGUAGCGCCUCGUGAAUUCAUCUCCGGGGGUAGAGCACUGUUUCGGCAAGGGGGUCAUCCCGACUUACCAACCCGAUGCAAACUGCGAAUACCGGAGAAUGUUAUCACGGGAGACACACGGCGGGUGCUAACGUCCGUCGUGAAGAGGGAAACAACCCAGACCGCCAGCUAAGGUCCCAAAGUCAUGGUUAAGUGGGAAACGAUGUGGGAAGGCCCAGACAGCCAGGAUGUUGGCUUAGAAGCAGCCAUCAUUUAAAGAAAGCGUAAUAGCUCACUGGUCGAGUCGGCCUGCGCGGAAGAUGUAACGGGGCUAAACCAUGCACCGAAGCUGCGGCAGCGACACUGUGUGUUGUUGGGUAGGGGAGCGUUCUGUAAGCCUGUGAAGGUGUGCUGUGAGGCAUGCUGGAGGUAUCAGAAGUGCGAAUGCUGACAUAAGUAACGAUAAAGCGGGUGAAAAGCCCGCUCGCCGGAAGACCAAGGGUUCCUGUCCAACGUUAAUCGGGGCAGGGUGAGUCGACCCCUAAGGCGAGGCCGAAAGGCGUAGUCGAUGGGAAACAGGUUAAUAUUCCUGUACUUGGUGUUACUGCGAAGGGGGGACGGAGAAGGCUAUGUUGGCCGGGCGACGGUUGUCCCGGUUUAAGCGUGUAGGCUGGUUUUCCAGGCAAAUCCGGAAAAUCAAGGCUGAGGCGUGAUGACGAGGCACUACGGUGCUGAAGCAACAAAUGCCCUGCUUCCAGGAAAAGCCUCUAAGCAUCAGGUAACAUCAAAUCGUACCCCAAACCGACACAGGUGGUCAGGUAGAGAAUACCAAGGCGCUUGAGAGAACUCGGGUGAAGGAACUAGGCAAAAUGGUGCCGUAACUUCGGGAGAAGGCACGCUGAUAUGUAGGUGAAGUCCCUCGCGGAUGGAGCUGAAAUCAGUCGAAGAUACCAGCUGGCUGCAACUGUUUAUUAAAAACACAGCACUGUGCAAACACGAAAGUGGACGUAUACGGUGUGACGCCUGCCCGGUGCCGGAAGGUUAAUUGAUGGGGUCAGCGCAAGCGAAGCUCUUGAUCGAAGCCCCGGUAAACGGCGGCCGUAACUAUAACGGUCCUAAGGUAGCGAAAUUCCUUGUCGGGUAAGUUCCGACCUGCACGAAUGGCGUAAUGAUGGCCAGGCUGUCUCCACCCGAGACUCAGUGAAAUUGAACUCGCUGUGAAGAUGCAGUGUACCCGCGGCAAGACGGAAAGACCCCGUGAACCUUUACUAUAGCUUGACACUGAACAUUGAGCCUUGAUGUGUAGGAUAGGUGGGAGGCUUUGAAGUGUGGACGCCAGUCUGCAUGGAGCCGACCUUGAAAUACCACCCUUUAAUGUUUGAUGUUCUAACGUGGACCCGUGAUCCGGGUUGCGGACAGUGUCUGGUGGGUAGUUUGACUGGGGCGGUCUCCUCCUAAAGAGUAACGGAGGAGCACGAAGGUUGGCUAAUCCUGGUCGGACAUCAGGAGGUUAGUGCAAUGGCAUAAGCCAGCUUGACUGCGAGCGUGACGGCGCGAGCAGGUGCGAAAGCAGGUCAUAGUGAUCCGGUGGUUCUGAAUGGAAGGGCCAUCGCUCAACGGAUAAAAGGUACUCCGGGGAUAACAGGCUGAUACCGCCCAAGAGUUCAUAUCGACGGCGGUGUUUGGCACCUCGAUGUCGGCUCAUCACAUCCUGGGGCUGAAGUAGGUCCCAAGGGUAUGGCUGUUCGCCAUUUAAAGUGGUACGCGAGCUGGGUUUAGAACGUCGUGAGACAGUUCGGUCCCUAUCUGCCGUGGGCGCUGGAGAACUGAGGGGGGCUGCUCCUAGUACGAGAGGACCGGAGUGGACGCAUCACUGGUGUUCGGGUUGUCAUGCCAAUGGCACUGCCCGGUAGCUAAAUGCGGAAGAGAUAAGUGCUGAAAGCAUCUAAGCACGAAACUUGCCCCGAGAUGAGUUCUCCCUGACCCUUUAAGGGUCCUGAAGGAACGUUGAAGACGACGACGUUGAUAGGCCGGGUGUGUAAGCGCAGCGAUGCGUUGAGCUAACCGGUACUAAUGAACCGUGAGGCUUAACCUUACAACGCCGAAGGUGUUUUG